RNAcentral lists this ribosomal RNA (423 nucleotides) under uncultured bacterium. RNAcentral's name for it is "bacterial SSU rRNA". It matches the Rfam family "Bacterial small subunit ribosomal RNA", at positions 362 to 777 of the family's 1533-position model. The record is from RNAcentral.
UAUUGGACAAUGGGCGCAAGCCUGAUCCAGCCAUGCCGCGUGUGUGAAGAAGGCCUUCGGGUUGUAAAGCACUUUUGUUGGGGAAGAAAACCUGUUGGUUAAUACCCGAUGGGAAUGACGGUACCCAAAGAAUAAGCACCGGCUAACUUCGUGCCAGCAGCCGCGGUAAUACGAAGGGUGCAAGCGUUACUCGGAAUUACUGGGCGUAAAGCGUGCGUAGGUGGUUCGUUAAGUCUGCCGUGAAAGCCCCGGGCUCAACCUGGGAAUUGCGGUGGAUACUGGCGGACUAGAGUGCGGUAGAGGGUGGUGGAAUUCCCGGUGUAGCAGUGAAAUGCGUAGAGAUCGGGAGGAACAUCUGUGGCGAAGGCGGCCACCUGGACCAGCACUGACACUGAGGCACGAAAGCGUGGGGAGCAAACAGGA